This 497-nucleotide ribosomal RNA is filed under the name uncultured bacterium. RNAcentral's name for it is "partial 16S ribosomal RNA". It matches the Rfam family "Bacterial small subunit ribosomal RNA", at positions 28 to 507 of the family's 1533-position model. The record is from RNAcentral.
GAUGAACGCUGGCGGCGUGCCUAAUACAUGCAAGUCGAGCGAACAGACGAUGAGGUUGCUCCUCUGACGUUAGCCGCGGACGUGCGAGUAACACGUUGAUAACCUACCUACAAGACUGGGAUCACUGCGGGAAACCGGAGCAAAUUCCGUAUAAUAUCUUAAACUUCAUUGUUCCAUAAUGAUAAACGGUUUUGCUGACUCUUAUCACUACAUCCUCGCCGCAUUUGGUAGUUGGUAAGGUAACGGUUUACCAAGGCAAUGAUUGGUAGCAGACCUGAGAGGGUGUCCGGCCACACGGGACCUGAGACACGGCCCAGACUCUUCCGGGAGGAGCAAGAAGGGAAUCUUCGGAAAGGGGGGAAAGCCUAACGAGGAACGGCGGCGGGAGGGAUGAAGGUCUUCGGAUCUUAAAACCCUGUUAUUAGGGAAGAACAAAUGUGUAAGUAACUAUGCACGUCUUGACGGUACCUAAUCAGAAAGCCACGGCUAACUACGUG